This 777-nucleotide ribosomal RNA is filed under the name uncultured bacterium. RNAcentral's name for it is "bacterial SSU rRNA". It matches the Rfam family "Bacterial small subunit ribosomal RNA", at positions 28 to 910 of the family's 1533-position model. The record is from RNAcentral.
GACGAACGCUGGCGGCGUGCCUAACACAUGCAAGUCGAACGAGUGGCGAACGGGUGAGUAACGCGUAGGCAACCUGCCCUUUAGACGGGGACAACAUUCCGAAAGGAGUGCUAAUACCGGAUGCUAAAGGAUGGGCCUGCGUCUGGUUAGCUAGUUGGUAGUGUAACGGACUACCAAGGCGAUGAUCAGUAGCCGGUCUGAGAGGAUGAACGGCCACAUUGGGACUGAGACACGGCCCAAACUCCUACGGGAGGCAGCAGUGGGGAAUCUUCCGCAAUGGACGAAAGUCUGACGGAGCAACGCCGCGUGAGUGAUGAAGGAUUUCGGUCUGUAAAGCUCUGUUGUUUAUGACGCGGUAGUAAACGAGGAAGCCACGGCUAACUACGUGCCAGCAGCCGUGGUAAUACGUAGGUGGCGAGCGUUGUCCGGAAUUAUUGGGCGUAAAGAGCAUGUAGGCGGCUUAAUAAGUCGAGCGUGAAAAUGCGGGGCUCAACCCCGUAUGGCGCUGGAGACUGUUAGGCUUGAGUGCAGGAGAGGAAAGGGGAAUUCCCAGUGUAGCGGUGAAAUGCGUAGAUAUUGGGAGGAACACCAGUGGCGAAGGCGCCUUUCUGGACUGUGUCUGACGCUGAGAUGCGAAAGCCAGGGUAGCGAACGGGAUUAGAUACCCCGGUAGUCCUGGCCGUAAACGAUGGGUACUAGGUGUAGGACUGUGCCGGAGUUAACGCAAUAAGUACCCCGCCUGGGGAGUACGGCCGCAAGGUUGCAACUCAAAUGAAU